RNAcentral lists this non-coding RNA (48 nucleotides) under Crypthecodinium cohnii. Lineage: Eukaryota; Dinophyceae; Gonyaulacales; Crypthecodiniaceae. The record is from RNAcentral.
AUUGAAGAGUGAAUGAGCGAAGGCAGCAGCAAUAGCAGGAGCAAUGGC